This is a long non-coding RNA of Notolabrus celidotus (New Zealand spotty), 2289 nucleotides long. RefSeq lists it as uncharacterized. The record is from RefSeq and is a predicted model, not a curated record. The transcript has 4 exons. Lineage: Eukaryota; Metazoa; Chordata; Actinopteri; Labriformes; Labridae.
CUGGACUCUCCAUUUACUCACCUGUUCCAUAUCAGCUCCUGAUUAGCAGCCUCCUGAGGCUCUGGUCUCCUCUUUACAUGCUGCCAGAUUGUUUCUACUCUCCAAGUGCGUCUCCCUCCUUCGAUCCCCAGCGCCUAACCAUGCACUGCCAAGCUUCAGAUCUUUGGAAGUCCUGAAUCCCACUUGGAAAUCAAGAAAUGAGGCCAGAAGCUCCCAGAAGAAUCACGGAAUAAAACAAGGAAAGUCACACUGAAUGACUGCUGUGUGGAGGCUAAUCAUUACUGUUACUAGCCUGUUGACUCUCCUUUUCCUCCCCUCGAGUACUGCUGUGGAGGAGUGACGCCUACAUGGCAGCAACACACUCAUUUCUCAUCACGGAGGUACAAGGUCUUUUUAUCGGGACGGGAGAGCCUGAAGAUGACAUCAUGCAGCUCUAUGGACAGCUGUCAGGAUGAGUCAGGUGAAUGUGGGCAGACUGAAAGUCGCUGUGUUCCUUAUGUCAAGAGGAAAAAAAUCCUCCUGCUGUGAGGGACCUUCCAAUCCAGUCAACAUCAAAGUAUGAGUAACAGCUUUGACAGGGAGCUUUAAAUACAGUAGCCGCCAUGAAUGCAGAACAAUAGAGGAAGAAAGAAUUGUGAAAAAAACUCAUUGACAGCUGCAAUCACAAGUUUUUUCUGAUCGGCAUUUAGCAGUGACUUUCAACUGGAAUAGAAAUAGAAUGCUUCAAAUGUCAUUAUACAUAGUCUACAAAAUUAUGAAUUGCCUUACCUUUACAUGCAUGACAUUCAGGCAUUCAUAACAUAGUUGCAAAUAUUCAUUCAAGUUGCACAAAAUAAGCAAAUUUGACUACAUAAUAAUAAUUGUAUUUCGAAAAAUCAGCAACUUUAACAAAAAGAAUUACCCAAACAACUCCAACAUUUUCAAGAUCCUCUUUUUUAAAUCUAUUUUUUUCAUCCACCAUACUUCCACACACACAGAUUUGCAUGUGCUCAAUUAUACAUUCAGAGUGUGACAAACAUGUGCACUUCCCCAUAAUGAGAAGGAAUUAUUUAUAGCAUGCUGUGCUCUUAUCAUUUGUCGGGCCCAACAGGUACAAAAAGAGUGGAGGUCAAGGACACCCAAAACUUGUCCUCCCAGCAAGCUGUUCCUCUGACAAACAUUUAUCAUUCAAGCACACAACUGCACCACAUCCAAUCCCUUUUCAGUCUUAAUUGGAUAAACAAAUCUUCAACGCUGUGGAAGUGAUUGGUCAUCCUCUUUUUGACUGAAAUUAAAAUUGUACAUAAGAGAGUUCACUGUUAUAUCUCUGUUUGCUGGAUUAUAAUAUGCUUAUUUAAUGCACGACCCUUCAGUUUUGCCAUGGUCAAAACUCUCUUUGGGGAAACAAUUAGUUUGCAAUUUAUUAUUGCACAAAAAAUAUUCAGGAGUGUCUUUCUUGAAGAUAAUAAUAUUCUGAAGCCUUCAUUAAGAGCUUCCUAAGUACAUUUGUAAGCUCAUUCCUUUCAGGACUAUAAUUCAUGCUGCAUUGGUGGAGCCUCUUAAUUAACACCUACUUCAGCCAACAAAUAGAAGUGUGUUAGUUGUACUUGCCUGCAGAACAAAACACCAUUGUUGUUUGUAAUUUUCUCCGUGGCCACCUCCUUGAAUUGCUCGAGACUGUCUCCCUUUUCGCUCUUUCUCUUUUUUGGGGAUUUUAGACUCUUUAUAUAAUUGAAAUUAUGAAAUCUGCUUGUAGUGCUUUGUCAUAUUUGAUUACGUUGUUUCUUUUUAUAAACAGACUUAUCUUUAGCCGGUGCAGUUUUCAACACACACACCAAAUGAAAGGUGCAAAAAGGAUGCAGGCUGUAAAAAAUGUAAUCACCUAAUUACCGACUGUCAGACCCACUUAUUUUUUACCACCGUGGGGAAAAUUCCGUUAGUAUGACACCUCUGUUUAAAGACAGAGUGUGUGUGUUGUAAGGCUGAAAAGUGAGACAGGAGGGGUGGCACCUGGCCUCUUUAGAUAAUCUAUUUAUGGCUUUCACACUUGAUUAGGCCCAAACUAAAAUACUUGGCUCUUGAAUGUGUUUAUCAAAUGUUUUAGUGUUAUCAGUCACAGCAGCAACAAACCAUAAAAAGUGUUGCGACUGCAUACUGAUCUGAUCUUGUAUGGUUUUUCUUAACCUUGAAAUUGCAGAAUUUGUGACAUCUGCCAGCUAUCUCUUCCUAUCUGAAUAGAAGUCUCAUCUGAAAUGUCAGUGCUGCUGUUGGGGAUGUUUAUUAUACAUAAAUAAAAUAUGAGAAACUGAA